RNAcentral lists this ribosomal RNA (424 nucleotides) under uncultured eukaryote. Its description in RNAcentral is "bacterial SSU rRNA". It matches the Rfam family "Bacterial small subunit ribosomal RNA", at positions 356 to 795 of the family's 1533-position model. The record is from RNAcentral.
GGGGAAUCUUCCGCAAUGGGCGAAAGCCUGACGGAGCAAUGCCGCGUGGAGGAUGAAAGCCUAUGGGUCGUAAACUCCUUUUCUCAGAGAAGAAAUUUUGACGGUAUCUGAGGAAUAAGCAUCGGCUAACUCCGUGCCAGCAGCCGCGGUAAGACGGGGGAUGCAAGUGUUAUCCGGAAUAAUUGGGCGUAAAGCGUCUGUAGGUGGUUUACCAAGUCUGUUGUUAAAACUCAAGGCUUAACCUUGAUCAGGCAACAGAAACUAGUAAGCUUGAGUACGGUAGGGGCAGAGGGAAUUCUCGGUGUAGUGGUGAAAUGCGUAGAUAUCGAGAAGAACACCAAUAGCGAAAGCACUCUGCUGGGCCGAAACUGACAUUGAGAGACGAAAGCUAGGGGAGCGAAAGGGAUUAGAUACCCCAGUAGUC